Molecule: ribosomal RNA, 478 nt
Filed under: uncultured bacterium
Lineage: Bacteria
Description: partial 16S ribosomal RNA
Rfam family: Bacterial small subunit ribosomal RNA
Source: RNAcentral
GAUGAACGCUGGCGGCGUGCCUAACACAUGCAAGUCGAACGGAGUCCAGCCUUUAAGACCUUCGGGUCAAAGAGGGGAAGACUGAGUGGCGGACGGGUGAGUAACACGUGGGCAACCUGGCUCAUAGAGGGGAAUAACAGAGAGAAAUUUCUGCUAAUACCGCAUAAGCACACACUGCCGCAUGGCAGAGGGUGAAAAGAGAAUCGCUAUGAGAUGGACCCGCGUCUGAUUAGCCAGUUGGCAGGGUAAGAGCCUACCAAAGCGACGAUCAGUAGCCGAUCUGAGAGGAUGAACGGCCACAUUGGGACUGAGACACGGCCCAAACUCCUACGGGAGGCAGCAGUGGGGGAUAUUGCACAAUGGGGGGAACCCUGAUGCAGCGACGCCGCGUGAGUGAAGAAGUAUUUCGGUAUGUAAAGCUCUAUCAGCAGGGAAGAUAAUGACAGUACCUGAAGAAGAAGCCCCGGCUAACUACGUG